RNAcentral lists this ribosomal RNA (700 nucleotides) under uncultured bacterium. Its description in RNAcentral is "bacterial SSU rRNA". It matches the Rfam family "Bacterial small subunit ribosomal RNA", at positions 92 to 807 of the family's 1533-position model. The record is from RNAcentral.
UUAGUGGCGACGGGUGAGUAACGCGUGAGAAACCUGCCUUUCAGUGGGGGACAACAGUUGGAAACGACUGCUAAUACCGCAUAAUGUAUCGAGGGGGCAUCCCUUUGAUACCAAAGCUUUAUGUGCUGAAGGAUGGUCUCGCGUCUGAUUAGCUAGAUGGCGGGGUAACGGCCCACCAUGGCGACGAUCAGUAGCCGGUCUGAGAGGAUGAACGGCCACAUUGGGACUGAGAUACGGCCCAGACUCCUACGGGAGGCAGCAGUGGGGAAUAUUGGGCAAUGGGGGAAACCCUGACCCAGCAACGCCGCGUGAAGGAAGAAGGCCUUCGGGUUGUAAACUUCUUUUAGCAGAGACGAAGGACGUGACGGUACCUGCAGAAAAAGCAACGGCUAACUACGUGCCAGCAGCCGCGGUAAUACGUAGGUUGCAAGCGUUGUCCGGAUUUACUGGGUGUAAAGGGCGUGUAGGCGGAGAUGCAAGUCAGGAGUGAAAUCCCGGGGCUCAACCCCGGAACUGCUUUUGAAACUGUAUCCCUUGAGUGUCGGAGAGGCAAGCGGAAUUCCUAGUGUAGCGGUGAAAUGCGUAGAUAUUAGGAGGAACACCAGUGGCGAAGGCGGCUUGCUGGACGAUAACUGACGCUGAGGCGCGAAAGCGUGGGGAGCAAACAGGAUUAGAUACCCUGAUAGUCCACGCUGUAAAC